Molecule: long non-coding RNA, 703 nt
Filed under: Citrus x clementina
Lineage: Eukaryota; Viridiplantae; Streptophyta; Magnoliopsida; Sapindales; Rutaceae
Description: Citrus clementina (C. clementina) long non-coding RNA (CCLE_LNC003540)
Source: RNAcentral
UUUUGAAAUAUUUAUUUUCUUUAAUUCAUUAUUGAUUAUAACAACUUGAUUAUUAUUAACUCAUUUUAACUUGGGAAAUUAUCAUUUGUAUACCCUUAGUUUACUCUAUUAUCAAAAAUACUACAACACUUUGAGGGUGUAUCAAUCGUCCACCCUAAGUUGACAAAAUGUAUCAGCUGACCACCAAACCGUUAGUUGCCGUUUAAGUAUGAUGACGUCAGAAUGGUAAUUUGGUCUUUUCAUAUGAUACAAGUGAUAAUUUAAAGGUAUACAAGUGAUAAAAAAAAGAAUUUAAGGGUAUACACGUGAUAAUUUUUAAGGGUAAAAUCGUCAAUUCAUUGUAACUCUGUUAACUUUCAAACGGAAACUAACGGUUUGGUGGUCGGCUGAUACAUUUUGUCAAUUAAGGGUGGAUGAUUGAUACACCCUCAAAGUGUUGUAGUAUUUUUAAUAACAGAGCAAAUAUAAGGUAUAUGAAUGAUAAUUUCCCUUUCAACUUUACAACAAUUUUAAAAAAAUUGAAAAAAAAUAAGCAAAAGCCCAAGCUCGCCCCAAGCCCAGUCCUUACAUUUUUACUAGCUCAGGCCCAAGCCCUUAAAUUGCCAACCCUAUUAAAAACAGUUGUGUGUAUUUUGGUAAAUUUUACUAAUUAACCGCAAUAAGAAUGUAAAUGAUCGAAUUAGACAUAAUAUUGAAUAAAAUU